UCAUAUAGGCCCCAGUUGAGAUGAACAAUCUAUUGUUUUAGGCAAUGUACAGACAUGCUGUAGGAGGUGCAUCUCACCCCAGCGAGCUCAGAGACUGCAGAGACAAAGUGUGGACAGAGAGACAACCAUAAAGAAAUUAAAUAAUAACUCACCUUGGACACAAAGACAGGGGCUGAACCAAGAAGAGAAUACAGAUCCCCUGCCUCCCUGCUCUUCUUUCAAGCAGCAGCGGUUGGCAGUUUUCCUCAACUUUGCAAGAGAGAGAGAGACUCGGUUGGAAUGAAACCUUGCUCUCCGUACAUCCUGCUUGAGAUGCAGCAUUGAAAGAUCACUCACAAUCAGUUUGUGGCCUUUCUCUGAAGGAACCUUUUCUGUCUCUUGAGUAAGUAUUUAUACUAAACAUUUUAUACUUUUCAUUGGUAUGAGUUGUGAAGUUCCAUCAAAGUUAGCCCAGGGCCCUUGUAAACUUCUCUGUUGCUCCC
Molecule: long non-coding RNA, 482 nt
Filed under: Manacus vitellinus (golden-collared manakin)
Lineage: Eukaryota; Metazoa; Chordata; Aves; Passeriformes; Pipridae
Description: lncRNA (ENSMVIG00005011615.1)
Source: RNAcentral